AAGAAGAAGAAGGGCUAGGUCCUAAGUGAAAUAAAAGGAGAAGGGAUAAGGAAAUAAACCACAUUAGGAGUUCCUCUCUUGAGAUCAUAUUGAUGAUCCAAGUAACUCCCAUCCUUUGGAAUAAGCAAUCACAAGCAAAUAUUUCAAGCAAUCAAACACACAGAUCAUGCUUCUAAGAAUCCUCCAAUGGCUUUUGUUUCUUU
RNAcentral lists this long non-coding RNA (203 nucleotides) under Lathyrus oleraceus (garden pea). Its description in RNAcentral is "Pisum sativum (pea) long non-coding RNA (PSAT_LNC034474)". The record is from RNAcentral. Lineage: Eukaryota; Viridiplantae; Streptophyta; Magnoliopsida; Fabales; Fabaceae.